GGAGGCGUCSAGCGGCGGACGGSUGAGUAAUGCAUAGGAAUCUGCCCGGUAGUGGGGGAUAACCUGGGGAAACCCAGGCUAAUACCGCAUACGCCCUACGGGGGAAAGCAGGGGAUCUUCGGACCUUGCGCUAUCGGAUGAGCCUAUGUCGGAUUAGCUAGUUGGUGAGGUAAYGGCUCACCAAGGCUGCGAUCCGUAGCUGGUCUGAGAGGAUGAUCAGCCACAUCGGGACUGAGACACGGCCCGAACUCCUACGGGAGGCAGCAGUGGGGAAUAUUGGACAAUGGGCGAAAGCCUGAUCCAGCCAUGCCGCGUGUGUGAAGAAGGCCUUCGGGUUGUAAAGCACUUUCAGUGAGGAAGAAAGCCUUGAGGUUAAUACCCUYKWKKGAGGACAUCACUCACAGAAGAAGCACCGGCUAACUCCGUGCCAGCAGCCGCGGUAAUACGGAGGGUGCGAGCGUUAAUCGGAAUUACUGGGCGUAAAGCGCGCGUAGGCGGCUUGAUAAGCCGGUUGUGAAAGCCCCGGGCUCAACCUGGGAACGGCAUCCGGAACUGUCAGGCUAGAGUGCAGGAGAGGAAGGUAGAAUUCCCGGUGUAGCGGUGAAAUGCGUAGAGAUCGGGAGGAAUACCAGUGGCGAAGGCGGCCUUCUGGACUGACACUGACGCUGAGGUGCGAAAGCGUGGGUAGCAAACAGGAUUAGAUACCCUGGUAGUCCACGCCGUAACGAUGUCGACUAGCCGUUGGGCUCCUUGAGAGCUUUGUGGCGCAGUUAACGCGAUAGUCGACGCUGGGGAGUACGCCGCAGGUUAAAC
This 813-nucleotide ribosomal RNA is filed under the name Halomonas sp. Pc51MM. Its description in RNAcentral is "bacterial SSU rRNA". It matches the Rfam family "Bacterial small subunit ribosomal RNA", at positions 84 to 900 of the family's 1533-position model. The record is from RNAcentral. Lineage: Bacteria; Pseudomonadati; Pseudomonadota; Gammaproteobacteria; Oceanospirillales; Halomonadaceae.